Papaver somniferum (opium poppy) is the source of this 2098-nucleotide long non-coding RNA. RefSeq lists it as uncharacterized. Lineage: Eukaryota; Viridiplantae; Streptophyta; Magnoliopsida; Ranunculales; Papaveraceae. The transcript has 3 exons. The record is from RefSeq and is a predicted model, not a curated record.
AACAUUCCGAUCUCGUCGUCAGCUUCUAAACCCAUGGCCUUGACAAAUUUAGAACACCAUCCUCUUUGAAAUACGUAGGAAUUAGUACUUGUCCACUUCCUGAACCGAGUCAGACACUAAAAAAUGAAAAGAAAAAAAAAAGUUCUGGCAUCCAAACAGAAAAUAAAGAGGUGGCCAGAAGCCUCCUAGUCCUAGACCAGUACACCGUCAGGCCGAUAUUAGGGUCUGAACUGAAGGAAUCUGAAACGUUUCAUUAUUCAAUUUCAGAAAAGCAGCACCAAUGGCACCUCUGAGAAACACAGGUGGUGCUAUUAUUGUUGCAGCAGCAGCAAUAUCCACGGCCGCGAUUCUCACUUACUUCUUACAAAACCCUCGAUCAAAAUAUUAUUCAUCCAGAAAAAUCUUACCAUCGAAGAAGAAGAAGAAGAAAAAUCCUUCAAUCCACUCAACGGCCUUUCUGAAGCAACUGGUUGCCAAGUAAAAAUUCUUAAUUUCUCUUUGACCCCAUUUAAGUUUUUCUUGUUCUUUCUCAAUUUUGAUCAAAAAGGUAAAAAUUUUGAUGUUGAGUUUGCGUUUUUGUUUUGAGAUUCUUGCAAAAGCUGAGUUUUUGAAUCCUGGGGGGAGCGUGAAAGAUAGAGUAGCAGUUAAAAUCAUUCAAGAGCUACAAUUGUAACUCUUUAAAGCUGCCCCUUGUCUGAAAAUUCGACUACCUUUGGUCCUUUGGAUUGAAAGCUAAAGUUUUUGUGGACCAAAGAAUUUGUUUUGCAUAUUUGAAUUGAAAGCUAUUGAGAAGUUUUGGGGUCAGUCGGGUAUUCUCUGACAGCUGAGGAAAAUCAAGGAGAACAAAUUUUGGGAUCUCUCACCUUCUGCAAUCUGGUGGACCAUUUGGAAAGACAGAAAUGCAAGGCUCCAUAGAAGGAACUUGUCUCAAUGAAUGAUUUCUGUCAAGCGUACUAUUUUCAAUUGGUCUCUUCAUACGAAACUGUUUGAUGGUUUCUGUUUGAGUACCUUAAUAUGUAAUUGGAUUGCCGCGAGUGAUAGAAGCUAACUAUUUACCUUUGUAUCUUUGGGAUUUCAGCUUCUCAAGCCUGCUCAUAGAGUCAAUUCUUAUGACUAUCUCAUUGCACAAUGACAGUGUGGAGAAGAAACUCACUCAAUCAUGCAGGUAGAACUAUGCUCAAAUAGGUAAGAUUAUAUGUAACUUCAUGGAAAAUCCCACCAAACUCUGGCGCCAACUAAUGAGCCAAGCAUACAAUAACUCUUUCUGGAGCUGUAAGUUUUUUACAAGGUGCUCCUUUACUUGAACUGUCAUGAUCAAUUGUAGAGAUGCAUAAUAAGUGGUUGGUUGCUGCUGGACUGUUCAAAUAUUAAGAUAUGGGAUGAUCCUUGGUUGGCUGGUGAACAAAGUCAUAUUAUCUUCAAAGAUAUUUGUCAAGUGGAAAAUGAUGUCUCAAGAAUCAAUCUCAUGGUGCAAAGUUCGAAUAAAUGGAACUCAGAGCUUAUAAACAAGCUAGUUCCACUUUACAUUGUUGAGCAGAUUAUGAGUAUGUACUUCCCAAACUCUGAAGACCAGAUCAAGAAGAAAAUUAUGUGGCUCCACCACCCUACUGGCAGCUUUUUCUACAAAAUCCUUCAAGUUGACUGCAUCACUUUGGAAGAAAUUCUGGAAAGUUUCUGACAUUGAUCCCAAGGUUCUAAUGUUUAUGUGGAGAAUGUUGCAGGAGGGCCUUGCUCUUGCCACUGGCAUUGGAAGAUUGUUGAAGACAUAAACUUGGAGUGCAGGCUGUGCAAUAAUGCUUUGGAAACAACUGGUCAUCUGAUGCUGCAUUGCCAAGAUAGUGUUGUUCAGCUCUCCUAUAAAUUUCAGGUCAAACCUUUAAGUGCCCAACGGAUUUUAUUACGCAGAUUCAUAAUCUUUCUGGCAAGUUUUAGGCCAGUUGAGCUUAAAUUAUCUGAAAAUGUGGUAACGAGGUUGCUCACAUUUAGGCUAAAUCUGGUUUCCAACAGUUGGCUUACUUCUCCUCCUCUUUGUAUUACGGCUCUGCUUCAAUCAGAGAGUAGCUAGCUUCUCGUUUUUCUGUUUUGUUCUUCCUGUGCA